ACUUUCUUAGUAUAACAAGUACAGAUGGCUUCCAACCACCUAGUUCUGGUUAAACCCCAGGAGAAAGUA
RNAcentral lists this transfer RNA (69 nucleotides) under Microhyla taraiensis. RNAcentral describes it as "tRNA-Gly". The record is from RNAcentral. Lineage: Eukaryota; Metazoa; Chordata; Amphibia; Anura; Microhylidae.